AGAUGUGAAGAAUAAAAUUGAAGGAACUGGCUAUGGUAAUCCUGGAGAAAAGAGGAAUUCGAUGGAGGUUCCUAAGAGGAGCUCAUGAAUUGGAGGAAAAAGCUACAGGAGUAGAGAUAUCUCCAGUGUGAGGAACCAGCUGGAGGGAGAGAUUAAGUUGCUGUGCCUGGUUAGAGCAAUAUAUUUCUUUGAGAUCCCCAGUACUUCUGGCUUCCUGCUUAGAGAUGGAAGAUGGAAGAGGCCAAGCCCACUUUAGAUUGCUAAAGGAAAAGGUUCUGGGAAGACAUGAGAGAAUCUGGCAGCCUCUAUCAUGUCUCUAUCCCAGCUGGUUUUAGUUAAGACUUCGGGGAAUUUCCCUUUGGGUGAAAUCCAGGACUCUCUUUUGGUUGAGCUGAGUUACUUCCCUCCCAAUGAGGUUGUCCUUGAGAUUCCAACUCUUCCUAAUUGGCCCCGGGGGAGAGAGGCGAGCUUGGCUCCUAUCAGAGGAAGACAGAGUUGUUGAGUGUCCAAAUGAAACCAGCAAACCAGCGAUGGUGUCUGAGGAUUCAGACAACUGGUCUGAGCUGGCCUCUUGGGCAGGCUCCAAGCAUUGGACCCUUUCCGAUAACUUGUAUGGUGGUGGACCAUGUGGAGGAGGAUUCAGAAGCAUCUUUCUGACAUCCCAAGAGCAAAGCUGA
Molecule: long non-coding RNA, 677 nt
Filed under: Monodelphis domestica (gray short-tailed opossum)
Lineage: Eukaryota; Metazoa; Chordata; Mammalia; Didelphimorphia; Didelphidae
Description: lncRNA (ENSMODG00000042673.1)
Source: RNAcentral